Molecule: ribosomal RNA, 1098 nt
Filed under: Geukensia demissa (ribbed mussel)
Lineage: Eukaryota; Metazoa; Mollusca; Bivalvia; Mytilida; Mytilidae
Description: 16S ribosomal RNA
Rfam family: Bacterial large subunit ribosomal RNA (bases 702-1029)
Source: RNAcentral
AUACUUUAAUUCUAGUACCUUUUGUAUAAGGGUUUUUUAAGAAAUUUUAUUUUUUUAAUUAUCCCGAAAGAAAAAAAUUUAUUUUAUUAAUUAUGUAACGUUGUAAAGUUACAAUAUAUCUUAAAAUAAAAGCUAGAUACUAAUUGCUUUUUCUGAUAUCUGGUUGGGUUUGAAAUAUAUUUAGUAUAGCUGUUUUUAGAAAUGGUUAAUAUAAUUGGGUUAAGCUGAUUAUAUUUUUAUUGAUUAAUGUAAGUAUAUGUCUGGUAAAGUAAGCUUCAAAUUAGCUAUCGUGGAUAUUGUUAUAAAUUUCACCAGAUUAUACUUUAAUUUAUAUAAUUUGUCAUUUUUUAAAAAAAUUCUUAUGCUCUUAAUAGUAAUAAUAAUGAUAAAAAUGAGUAGAUUAAGAUAUAAUUUGGUAUAAGUAUUAAUAUCAGUUUUAAGUUGUUUAUAAAUGUAAUCUGUGUAAUAAACUCGGCAAAAAUAUUAUUCGACUGUUUAACAAAAACAUUUCUUUAUGCAUAUACAUAUAAAGUAAGCCCUGCCCGGUGAUACUUUUAACGGCGGCCUUAGCGUGAGGGUCCAAAGGUAGCAUAGUAAUUUGGCCUUUAAUUGGGGUCUUGUAUGAAUGGGUUAACGUAAUAAUUACUGUGUCACACGGAUACAUAUAAAUUAAGUUUAAGGUGAAGAUGCCUUAAUUAUAAAGAAAGACGACAAGACCCUAUGAAGCUUUAUUUAUUUAAUAAUUUUAAAAUUGUUUGAUAAAUUUGUUGGGGCAACAAAGUGAUACUACAUUACUUUUUAAAAUUUUACUUUCAUGUCUUAUCUUAAUUUGUGAUGUUGAUUAGCUACUCUAGGGAUAACAGCGCAAUUUAUUUUUUAAGUUCUUAUUUUUAAAUAAGGUUGCGACCUCGAUGUUGGCUUUGGAAUAACUAUUAGGUGCAGCAGUUUAGUUAGUAAGUCUGUUCGACUUUUGAAUUCCAACAUGAGCUGAGUUCAGACCGGUGUAAGCUAGGUCAGUUUCUAUCUUCUUUUAUUUACUGACAAUUUUGGUACGAAAGGACUUUUUGUCAAAAUUAUUUUUUGAAUAUUGGUAGGUUG